UAUAGAUUAAUUAUUAAAUCGUAAGGCUGUUAACUUUAAGAUGCUGCAAUUUAAGGCUAG
Molecule: transfer RNA, 60 nt
Filed under: Enterogyrus malmbergi
Lineage: Eukaryota; Metazoa; Platyhelminthes; Monogenea; Dactylogyridea; Ancyrocephalidae
Description: tRNA-Asn
Source: RNAcentral